UAUUCUAAUGUUUACUGUGCACGAUUCUCUGCGCUCGCUGCGGCUACGAUCCCUGCUUAUCAGCAAACGUGUGCGGUGUGCGCAGCCACGGUCACUCCAGAUAAGAUAUAGCAUAAUACUUUAUGUAGAGACGACUUAAGUCAGUUGCGCAGAAAUGCUCGUCGUGGUUGCAUCGCUGCUUAUCGCGUGCCUUCGAUGCAGUUUCGGUCCACGUUUUCAGUUUUUUGUUAGUUUUGUGGCGUGGUGCGGGUGUCGGUGCGUUUUCUGGAUCAUACCGUUUCUUGCAUUGUACUUUAAUAAAUCACCGUCUAAUGGUCAUUAACAGUAUUCAGUUCUAAUCAUUCUGUGUGGUGAACGUGAUGAACCAGUACUAGAAUUAUCUUCAAUUGUUACUAAAAGAAGUUGAUAUUAUUCAUUGUGAACUUCAUGCUUUCGGAAACGGCGUUUGUUAGAGUAAACAAUAUUUUCCGUGCCUUGGAGUCCGAUGACGUCUGCAUUAGAAUUCGUUCUGCGCGUUUGUUGCGUACGCACCUACUGGUAGAAUUCAUCAUUUACGCAUGCGCUACGCACUUUACUUUGUUUACGGUCAACAUUGUCAUCUCUCCUUGGCUCCGGCAGUGUUAGUUGUGCAGUCUUAGCGCAUCUCCGUAGUGUUACAUCGCGUGUUUUUAAAGUGCAAUAUUCAAUUGGCAAUCGACUGCAGUUAAUGACUAUUGAGUUAUGAUUAAUUGUGUUUGUACUUUUCAUAAAUGCGCACAUAUAGUGUCUUCUUGUGAUUUUCAUCAGUCGGAUAUUACCUUUGUGGGUACAAAAUUUGAAGACUAUUGUGAUGAGAAAAUUUACAUAAUGUCAAGGAGUUGAACGUGUACAAUCGUGCCCGCAGUCAAUUGUUACAGGGGGAGUUCCUGCAACAAACUAAUACCACCCGACGAAGAAUUUAAUUCCGCUUCGAUGAAGUUAGUGAGACGCCUAGAUCGUGAGUAAACACGAAAAAACCAUGAAAAAUUACAAUUUUAUGACUCGUAUUUAGGGCACCGUACGAGGGUAGCGGUAGAAGUGACUCGUAUUCAGGGCACCGUACGAGGGUAGCGGUACAUUUUUAUGCAAAUUUUCGCGAGUUACAAGGGCAGUUCCUCCAACCAACAUAUACCACCCGACGGAGAAUUUAAUUCCGCAUCUUUUGACGCCACGCUGAAGUUAGUGUGACGCCUAGAUCGCGAGCAAACACGAAAAAACCAUGGAAAAUUACAAUAUUAUGCAAAUUUUCGCGGGUUACAGGUGGAAUUCCGGCAACAAACUAUUACCACCCGACGGAAAAUUUAAUUCCGCAUCUUUUGACGCCACGCUGAAGUUAGUGCGACGCCUAGAUCGCGAGCAAACACGAAAAAACCAUGGAAAAUUACAAUAUUAUGCAAAUUUUUGCGGGUUACAGGGGAAAUUUCGGCAACAAACUAUUUCCUCCCGACGGAAAAUUUAAUUCCGCAUCUUUUGACGCAACGCUGAGGCUAGUGCGAUACCUAGAUCACGAGCAAACACGAAAAAACCAUAGAAAAUUACAAUUUUAUGCAAAUUUUCGCGGGUUACAGUGGAAAUUCCGGUAACAAACUAUUACCACCCGACGGAAAAUUUAAUUCCGCAUCUUUUGACGCCACGCUGAAAUUAGUGCGACGCCUAGAUCGCAAGCAAACACGAAAAAACCAUGAAAAAUUACAAUUUUAUGCAAACUUUCGCGGGUUACAGGGGGAAUUCCGGCAACAAACUAUUACCA
This is a long non-coding RNA of Dalotia coriaria, 1768 nucleotides long. RefSeq lists it as uncharacterized. The transcript is spliced from 5 exons. The record is from RefSeq and is a predicted model, not a curated record. Lineage: Eukaryota; Metazoa; Arthropoda; Insecta; Coleoptera; Staphylinidae.